CUAUCAUUAACUGAAUCCAUAGGUUAAUGAGGCGAACCGGGGGAACUGAAACAUCUAAGUACCCCGAGGAAAAGAAAUCAACCGAGAUUCCCCCAGUAGCGGCGAGCGAACGGGGAGCAGCCCAGAGCCUGAAUCAGUGUGUGUGUUAGUGGAAGCGUCUGGAAAGGCGCGCGAUACAGGGGGACAGCCCCGUACACAAAAAUGCACAUACUGUGAGCUCGAUGAGUAGGGCGGGACACGUGGUAUCCUGUCUGAAUAUGGGGGGACCAUCCUCCAAGGCUAAAUACUCCUGACUGACCGAUAGUGAACCAGUACCGUGAGGGAAAGGCGAAAAGACCCCCGGCGAGGGGAGUGAAAAAGAACCUGAAACCGUGUACGUACAAGCAGUGGGAGCCUCUUUAUGGGGUGACUGCGUACCUUUUGUAUAAUGGGUCAGCGACUUAUAUUCUGUAGCAAGGUUAACCGAAUAGGGGAGCCGAAGGGAAACCGAGUCUUAACUGGGCGUUAAGUUGCAGGGUAUAGACCCGAAACCCGGUGAUCUAGCCAUGGGCAGGUUGAAGGUUGGGUAACACUAACUGGAGGACCGAACCGACUAAUGUUGAAAAAUUAGCGGAUGACUUGUGGCUGGGGGUGAAAGGCCAAUCA
Molecule: ribosomal RNA, 645 nt
Filed under: Escherichia coli
Lineage: Bacteria; Pseudomonadati; Pseudomonadota; Gammaproteobacteria; Enterobacterales; Enterobacteriaceae
Description: bacterial LSU rRNA
Rfam family: Bacterial large subunit ribosomal RNA
Source: RNAcentral